AAACAACCGUGACAACUGACCCAGAGAGAGACAAACAGAGCAAAAGAAAGACAAACAGAAAGCUUCUUCUUCUUUGUCAGUGAAGUUCCUUCCUGCUCCAAGCCUUGGCUAGGUCCUGAAGCAUCAGCGGGUGGAUUCUGAGCAUGGUCGUGUCAGUGGCCCAGAUGCAGAGACAGAGGAUAAGGGGUGAGAUAAUGACUCUACCUGACCCAGCAAGGGGAGGGGGGCGAGCGUCUGAGGUGGAUUCCAGCAAGGCAUCACGGGGCUGAGACCCUCUUUCCCCCAGGGCGUGGGGUUCUGCCUCGGCGCCCCCUCCAGAGAACCCCCUGGCCCCUCUGGUCCUGGCAUUCGUGUGUCCAGAAGGGGUGCCCACCUGAACCGUCAGCACCGAGUUUGUAGUGAACAGGAGGAGAAGGAUUAAGGCUGCAGUGGAAGACAGAUCUGCACGUUCCAGUGACUGUUCUGAAGCUUCGUGGCCUCGAAAGGCGGCCUUGCUCUUCAAGCUUCUUCCCGCAUCCCGGCCAGCGCUCACUCCUGGCUUCACCUGGACUUGAGUCCCCUUCAUCCUGUGUGGCCCUCCAAGACCGUGCUCCUGCUCAGCACAACUUGUCCCUGAGACCCAGUAGAAGGUGUGCCCAGGGAGGCCCCUGCUGUUCUGGUGCAGCAGCCCUCUGCCCUGUGUGUGCGUCCUGGCAUAGCAGGUCUCAGCCGCUAGGAGACGAGUGAUCGCAAUCACCGCUGGCAGGGGUGCUGCUGUGUUCUCGUGGCUUUUUGCAAUUUGCCAUCUGUAGGAGAGAGAUUGAUUUUUAAAAAUAAACAGGCUUUGUGUAAAAUGUAUACAUAUGUAUGGUCCCAUUAA
This 859-nucleotide long non-coding RNA is filed under the name Capra hircus (goat). RNAcentral describes it as "lncRNA (ENSCHIG00000001526.1)". The record is from RNAcentral. Lineage: Eukaryota; Metazoa; Chordata; Mammalia; Artiodactyla; Bovidae.